Molecule: ribosomal RNA, 228 nt
Filed under: uncultured fungus
Lineage: Eukaryota; Fungi
Description: partial small subunit ribosomal RNA
Rfam family: Eukaryotic small subunit ribosomal RNA (bases 110-228)
Source: RNAcentral
GGCACGAUACGCCUGGUCCGCCACCCUCGCGGUGUGUGAGUACCGGUGCGCGUCUGCCAUCCUUCGCGGGUCGGCGCCUCCCCUUCAGUGGGCGUGGGUGUCGGGCCGCGAUCGUUUACUUUGAAAAAAUUAGAGUGUUUCAGGCAGGCGUUGUCGCCCUGUAUACAUUAGCAUGGAAUAAUAAGAUAGGACUUGGGCCCUAUUUUGUUGGUUUCUAGAGCCGAAGUA